Molecule: ribosomal RNA, 460 nt
Filed under: uncultured bacterium
Lineage: Bacteria
Description: partial 16S ribosomal RNA
Rfam family: Bacterial small subunit ribosomal RNA
Source: RNAcentral
CCUACGGGUGGCAGCAGUGAGGAAUAUUGGUCAAUGGACGAGAGUCUGAACCAGCCAAGUAGCGUGAAGGAUGACUGCCCUAUGGGUUGUAAACUUCUUUUAUAUGGGAAUAAAAUGUUCCACGUGUGGGAUUUUGUAUGUACCAUAUGAAUAAGGAUCGGCUAACUCCGUGCCAGCAGCCGCGGUAUUACGGAGGAUCCGAGCGUUAUCCGGAUUUAUUGGGUUUAAAGGGAGCGUAGGUGGAUUGUUAAGUCAGUUGUGAAAGUUUGCGGCUCAACCGUAAAAUUGCAGUUGAAACUGGCAGUCUUGAGUACAGUAGAGGUGGGUGGAAUUCGUGGUGUAGCGGUGAAAUGCUUAGAUAUCACGAAGAACUCCGAUUGCGAAGGCAGUUCACUGGACUGCAACGGACACUGAGGCUCGAAAGUGUGGGUAUCAAACAGGAUUAGAUACCCCGGUAGUC